Molecule: long non-coding RNA, 776 nt
Organism: Ailuropoda melanoleuca (giant panda)
Lineage: Eukaryota; Metazoa; Chordata; Mammalia; Carnivora; Ursidae
Exons: 3
Source: RefSeq, a predicted model, not a curated record
GAGGGAGGGGGCGCCGGGGGCCGGGGGGCGCGGCGGUGGCGGCCGCGGGUCCCGUCAGCGCAGGGAGACCUCGUCCUCGUUCCCGCGUCCCGUCAUCCUGAGGAGACCCGGUCCCCGGGAGCCGGUCGGGCUGAGGAGAAUCCGUCCUCGUCCCUGUCCGGGUCCCGUCAUCCUGAGGAGACCCGUCCCCGCGUCCCGUCAUCCUAAGGAGAUCUGUUCCCGGGAGCCGGUCAGGCUGAGGAGAAUCCGUCCUCGUCCCUGUCCGUGGGUCCCGUCAUCCUGAGGAGACCCGGGCCCCGGCUCCCGUCACCCCGAGGAGACCCGUCCCCGUCCGUGGGUCCCGUCACCCCGAGGAGACCCGGGCCCCGGCUCCCGUCACCCCGAGGAGACCCGUCCCCGUCCGUGGGUCCCGCCAUCCUGAGGAGACCCGGUCCCCGGGAGCCAGUCAGGCUGAGGAGAAUCCGUCCUCGUCCCUGUCCGUGGGUCCCGUCACCCCGAGGAGACCCCGUCCCUGGGGUCCCACCACCCGGACCGGUCAGGCCGCCGAGGGAAAGGGGGGCAGGCUGGUCAGGAGCUCGGAAGUCGGGGUGCGUCUGGGAAGGAGGGGCAGCCGACGGCACCGGUCCUGCACUGCCGCUUGUCCUCAGGGCCCUCCCAUCUGUUCUUUUUCUGAAGAAAGCUCUGUGGAGGAGCGGGCCCAGACAGCAGGUGCAGAGCAGAUGGAGCCUGCGCCCGUGCCGGCUCCAAGAAGCCCCCAUACUCUCUGUCCUGAAAAG